GCGCUUGAUCAAGGCCGCUGUCUAACAUGGGGCUCUUGUUAGUAUUUUCUUGAAUCAAAUGAAUCCUAUGUAAAAAACUUUUGGUAUCAGAACCGCUCUCUUUUUUAUAAACAAAAUUCAACGAGCUCAUGCGGUUGACCAACUUCGCUUAUCUACAAGGACAACCGGCUUCGGCGAGACCACCUUCCUUCUUGCCAAAAACUCC
Molecule: long non-coding RNA, 205 nt
Filed under: Elaeis guineensis (African oil palm)
Lineage: Eukaryota; Viridiplantae; Streptophyta; Magnoliopsida; Arecales; Arecaceae
Description: long non-coding RNA (EGUI_LNC005118)
Source: RNAcentral